AUGACUUAAACAUAACUAGGGAAAAUAAUGGUUCAGGGUAACAUCGGAGUCCUUGCUGCUCAUAUGAGAAUUUUCUGAGCCAGUAAAGGUGGCCCCUAAGUAGACCCACAUACAUUGCAGGAUGCCUAGCGUAUAGUAACAUGCCAG
Cricetulus griseus (Chinese hamster) is the source of this 147-nucleotide small nuclear RNA. Its record names the gene U12. It matches the Rfam family "U12 minor spliceosomal RNA". From Rfam's summary of the family: Although the U12 sequence is very divergent from that of U2, the two are functionally analogous. The record is from Ensembl. Lineage: Eukaryota; Metazoa; Chordata; Mammalia; Rodentia; Cricetidae.